RNAcentral lists this unclassified non-coding RNA (276 nucleotides) under Boletus bicolor. RNAcentral describes it as "partial internal transcribed spacer region". The stretch from base 1 to 46 matches the Rfam family "Eukaryotic small subunit ribosomal RNA", at positions 1786 to 1831 of the family's 1831-position model. The record is from RNAcentral. Lineage: Eukaryota; Fungi; Basidiomycota; Agaricomycetes; Boletales; Boletaceae.
AAGUCGUAACAAGGUUUCCGUAGGUGAACCUGCGGAAGGAUCAUUAUCGAAUUUCGAGGGGGGGAAGAUUGGGGAGUUGGACUGUCGCUGGCCCUCGGGCAUGUGCACGUCUUACUUUUCGUCGACCUUCUCUCACCCACACACACACCUGUGCACCCGUUGUAGGUUCUCGAAAGAGGAUCUAUGUUUUUCACAUCACACCCCUAUCGUAUGUCUACAGAAUGUAUUGAAAUGAAAUAAAUCAUACAACUUUCAGCAACGGAUCUCUUGGCUCUC